AGAGUUUGAUCAUGGCUCAGAUUGAACGCUGGCGGCAGGCUUAACACAUGCAAGUCGAACGAUGACUCUCUAGCUUGCUAGAGAAGAUUAGUGGCGGACGGGUGAGUAACAUUUAGGAAUCUGCCUAGUAGUGGGGGAUAGCUCGGGGAAACUCGAAUUAAUACCGCAUACGACCUACGGGUGAAAGGGGGCGCAUGCUCUUGCUAUUAGAUGAGCCUAAAUCAGAUUAGCUAGUUGGUGGGGUAAAGGCCCACCAAGGCGACGAUCUGUAACUGGUCUGAGAGGAUGAUCAGUCACACCGGAACUGAGACACGGUUCGGACUCCUACGGGAGGCAGCAGUGGGGAAUAUUGGACAAUGGGGGCAACCCUGAUCCAGCCAUGCCGCGUGUGUGAAGAAGGCCUUUUGGUUGUAAAGCACUUUAAGCAGGGAGGAGAGGCUAAUGGUUAAUACCCAUUAGAUUAGACGUUACCUGCAGAAUAAGCACCGGCUAACUCUGUGCCAGCAGCCGCGGUAAUACAGAGGGUGCGAGCGUUAAUCGGAAUUACUGGGCGUAAAGCGAGUGUAGGUGGCUCAUUAAGUCACAUGUGAAAUCCCCGGGCUUAACCUGGGAACUGCAUGUGAUACUGGUGGUGCUAGAAUAUGUGAGAGGGAAGUAGAAUUCCAGGUGUAGCGGUGAAAUGCGUAGAGAUCUGGAGGAAUACCGAUGGCGAAGGCAGCUUCCUGGCAUAAUAUUGACACUGAGAUUCGAAAGCGUGGGUAGCAAACAGGAUUAGAUACCCUGGUAGUCCACGCCGUAAACGAUGUCUACUAGCCGUUGGGGUCCUUGAGACUUUAGUGGCGCAGUUAACGCGAUAAGUAGACCGCCUGGGGAGUACGGCCGCAAGGUUAAAACUCAAAUGAAUUGACGGGGGCCCGCACAAGCGGUGGAGCAUGGUGGUUUAAUUCGAUGCAACGCGAAGAACCUUACCUGGUCUUGACAUAGUGAGAAUCCUGCAGAGAUGCUGGGAGUGCCCUUCGGGAGUCACAUACAGUGCUGCAUGCUGUCGGUCAGCUCGUGUCGUGACGAUGUAGCGUAGGUCCCGCACGGAGCGUCACCUUAUUCCUAACUGGCAUGUCGGUAGGCCAGGACUAGGAUACCUGACAUGGACAAACUGGAAGUAUGGGCGCGUGUACU
Molecule: ribosomal RNA, 1176 nt
Filed under: uncultured Moraxella sp.
Lineage: Bacteria; Pseudomonadati; Pseudomonadota; Gammaproteobacteria; Moraxellales; Moraxellaceae
Description: bacterial SSU rRNA
Rfam family: Bacterial small subunit ribosomal RNA
Source: RNAcentral